AACAAGCAAAGAGUUCGGAUAAUUUGACACAGUGCAGUGUGAAAGAGAACCGUAGCUGCUGAAAAUGUAACAAAUGUUGUUAUUUUGGUUCCAGAUUUAACUGAGUCUACCCGGACUAACAGCUAAAAACAAAACAUUUUCUAAGAGUAAAGUUAUUAAAACAGUGAUGAGUGAAUCUGUGCUCACCUGGGAUCCAGUUGUUGCUGUGAACUUUGAGGAAAAGCAGGAGGAAAAUGAUGGAUAAAGCAGAGAAACAGGGAGACAUGAUGACUGCAGAGGAAGGUGAUGAAGAGUGAAGGAGGCAGAGAGGGAGUGGAAGUGAAGAGGAGUAGGACGGUGUCUAGACUUUAAAGGUUACUCAGAGCAAAUUUGUGGCUCAGAGUUACAACAGAAUAAAAUCCUUCCUGCUUUU
This is a long non-coding RNA of Poecilia latipinna (sailfin molly), 412 nucleotides long. RefSeq lists it as uncharacterized. The transcript has 2 exons. Lineage: Eukaryota; Metazoa; Chordata; Actinopteri; Cyprinodontiformes; Poeciliidae. The record is from RefSeq and is a predicted model, not a curated record.